RNAcentral lists this ribosomal RNA (200 nucleotides) under uncultured bacterium. RNAcentral's name for it is "partial 16S ribosomal RNA". It matches the Rfam family "Bacterial small subunit ribosomal RNA", at positions 30 to 234 of the family's 1533-position model. The record is from RNAcentral.
AUUGAACGCUGGCGGCAGGCCUAACACAUGCAAGUCGAGCGCGAAAGUUCUUCGGAAUGAGUAAAGCGGCGGACGGGUGAGUAAUACAUGGGAAUCUGCCUGGUAGUGGGGGACAACGUUUCGAAAGGAACGCUAAUACCGCAUACGCCCUACGGGGGAAAGGGGGGAUCUUCGGACCUCUCACUAUCAGAUGAGCCCAU